AGAGUUUGAUCAUGGCUCAGAACGAACGUUAGCGGCGCGCCUAACACAUGCAAGUCGCACGAGAAAGGGCUUCGGCCCCGGUAAAGUGGCGCACGGGUGAGUAACACGUGGGUAAUCUUCCCUCGAGCGGGGGAUAACAUUCCGAAAGGAGUGCUAAUACCGCAUAAGACCACGCUCUCGAAAGAGGGCGAGGCCAAAGC
Molecule: ribosomal RNA, 200 nt
Filed under: uncultured bacterium
Lineage: Bacteria
Description: partial 16S ribosomal RNA
Rfam family: Bacterial small subunit ribosomal RNA
Source: RNAcentral